UGCCAGCCGCCGCGGUAAUACGGAGGGUGCGAGCGUUAAUCGGAAUUACUGGGCGUAAAGCGCGCGUAGGUGGUCUGUUAAGUCGGAUGUGAAAGCCCCGGGCUCAACCUGGGAACUGCAUUCGAUACUGGCAGACUAGAGUGCGAGAGAGGGAGGUAGAAUUCCAUGUGUAGCGGUGAAAUGCGUAGAUAUGUGGAGGAAUACCAGUGGCGAAGGCGGCCUCCUGGCUCGACACUGACACUGAGGUGCGAAAGCGUGGGGAGCAAACAGGAUUAGAUA
Molecule: ribosomal RNA, 279 nt
Filed under: uncultured bacterium
Lineage: Bacteria
Description: partial 16S ribosomal RNA
Rfam family: Bacterial small subunit ribosomal RNA
Source: RNAcentral